GUAGAUAUAGUUUAACAAAAACAUUAGAUUGUGAAUCUAAAAACAGAAACUAACAAUUCUUAUCUACC
RNAcentral lists this transfer RNA (68 nucleotides) under Pteronotus sp. PV-RO-BRA. RNAcentral describes it as "tRNA-His". It matches the Rfam family "tRNA". From Rfam's summary of the family: Transfer RNA (tRNA) molecules are approximately 80 nucleotides in length. Lineage: Eukaryota; Metazoa; Chordata; Mammalia; Chiroptera; Mormoopidae. The record is from RNAcentral.